UCCAAAUUUAUGCCUCCAUCCCUGGCACCUCCCCUUGAGGUCUCAUAUAUCUAACUACCUUCUCAACAUCUGUACUUAGGUGUCUAUCUUUACAUGUCAAAAAGCAAGUUCUUGCUUUUAGCACCAAAUCGGCUUCUUCUUGGUCUUCUCAACCUCAGAUAAUGGCCACUCCGUUCUUUUAAUUGCUCAGUACAAAAACCUCAGAGUCAUUACCAAUUGCUCUUUUUCUCUCAUGCUCCAUGUCCAAAUCCAUGAAGGAUCCCUUGUGGCUCUUCCUUGAAAAUAUAUUCUGAUCUGGCCAUUUUUUAUCCCCUGCAUUGCUAUACCUGGGACAAGCCACUUAGACUCCUUGACUGGAUACUUGCAAACUCCUAACUGCCUGCUUCAUUUGUGCAAAGUCUGUUCUUAAAUUGAACAACCAGAAUGAUCUUGCUAACCAUUAGUCAAGUCAGGAUCCUGCCCUUAUUAAAAUCCUCCCCUAGCUCCUCGUGGCUCUCUGAGAGAAAGUCAGACCCAUUACACUGUGCAGGAAGCUCUGCAUGAUUGGGCUGUCCUCUCUAACCUCAUGUCUUUCUUCUUCCUCUCCAUGGCAGUUUUAAAACACAGCCUUCAAAUUCUUUGACACUCCUCCCAUUGAGAGGCCAGGGGUCACUGUUUCCUGCCUCCGGAUCUGGCCUCUGUGACUGUUUGACCACUAGGUUACGGCAACUCCCAUUUUUCGGCUUAUGGGACACUCACUCUUUGAAUGCAGCCAUCGUGGAUGGAGCAGGCUCCCAGUCUGUGAAGCAGGCCUGUGAACAGGAACCAAGGUCCCAGCUGACAGUCCCCACCACCUGCUCAGCUCCCCGCCAGCACCCACUUGCUAGCCACAUGAGUGAACCUAAUGGAAAUUGGGUUCCCCAGGUGAUGUCACCUGGAACUAAGAGCUAUCAGGAGACAAAAGCUGUUCUUCAGUUCAUUGAUCUGCAUCUGGUCCUGGCUUAUAGCACUGACAACGAAAAAGGUGCCAAGUCAAACUCUGCCUCAGUCCCAGGCCUUUCCUGUGAGGUGCAAGAGGUGCGGAGAUGGUCUUUGUUGAAGGGCUUGUCAACUAACAACAGUUCAAGAGAAGCUUCUGGACCAUUGAUCUUUCCAAAAAAGAGAUGAGAUGAAGAGCAGAGUGCAUUUUCAGCGACACUGGACUGAGGAGGCUAGACUCCAAAAAUCACAUUUGCUGCCUUGAUACUUCUAAUCGAAGAGAUCCUAUUGGUUAUGCUCAUAAAUCCCCCAAUCCAAUAACUUGCUAAGUCACUGUGUCCCCCUAUUUUGAUAAUGAUCAGCAAGGAACCUAGAGCAUGGUCACUCUCCAGCAUUGGCACUUUUGUUAUAUCCCUGCACUCCAGAAAGAUAUUUGCUCUUGUUGUUUCAUAGAAGGAACCAGAAUCCCACUAUUCUGACUCAGAUCAGGAUGCUCUAGGGUAAGGGGUUAGCUGUUCUCCCAAAGCCAGCUCUGCAAUACCAUGUCUUACUUACCAUCUUUCUUCCCUUAAGGCAAUGUACCCCUGUGACAAUCACAGAACCUAAGACGCCUGUUGGUGUCUUUGGUGGAAGUGAUGAUGGUGAAUCUCAUCAUUGAUUUUAGGAGAUGAUAGACACUACUAUCUUAACUUCAACUGUUUUCUGGACAAUCAUCUUGGCUUAGUAGAGGUUGGAGCACAAAGGGCUGAGUUGGGUGUACUCAUUGCAGUUCUAAACAUCUGGGGACUUUGCGUCAGUCAGAAUAAGUAAGGUUAUGCUGCAAUAAUAAAAAGACCCCACAUGUUUCAGCUUCUUAACAACCCAGAUUUCUUUCUUGUUCACAUCACAUUUCCAGCAUGGAUUGACAGGCAGGCUGUACUCACUAGGCAUUCAGGGACCCAGUUAAUGCAAGAUCCACAAUGACACAAGCCUUCUUGGUCAUCUUCUAAAGGGAAAAUCACAUUAUGGCUUCCAAAGCCUUUGCCCAGAGGUGCCAUGUCUGCUUACCUCUCGUGGACAAAAUAAGUGACAUGCCACAAGGGUUCAAUAAAUGAAAUUCAACCA
This is a long non-coding RNA of Marmota monax (woodchuck), 2061 nucleotides long. RefSeq lists it as uncharacterized. NCBI's taxonomy places the organism in Eukaryota, Metazoa, Chordata, Mammalia, Rodentia, Sciuridae. The transcript has 3 exons. The record is from RefSeq and is a predicted model, not a curated record.